RNAcentral lists this ribosomal RNA (510 nucleotides) under uncultured bacterium. RNAcentral describes it as "bacterial SSU rRNA". It matches the Rfam family "Bacterial small subunit ribosomal RNA", at positions 15 to 518 of the family's 1533-position model. The record is from RNAcentral.
GAUCAUGGCUCAGGAUGAACGCUAGCGACAGGCUUAACACAUGCAAGUCGAGGGCAGCAUAAAAGUAGCAAUACGUUGGUGGCGACCGGCGCACGGGUGAGUAACGCGUAUGCCAACCUACCUAUCAGAGGGAACUAACCGGCGAAAGUCGGACUAAUACCGCAUAAACAGGGGCACCGCAUGGUGAUAUUUGUUAAAGAGAUUCGCUGAUAGAUGGGCAUGCGUUCCAUUAGGUAGUUGGUGAGGUAACGGCUCACCAAGCCGACGAUGGAUAGGGGAACUGAGAGGUUGGUCCCCCACACUGGUACUGAGACACGGACCAGACUCCUACGGGAGACAGCAGUGAGGAAUAUUGGUCAAUGGGCGGGAGCCUGAACCAGCCAAGUCCGCGUGAAGGAAGAAGGAUCUAUGGUUCGUAAACUUCUUUUGCAGGGGAAUAAAGUGCAGGACGUGUCCUGUUUUGUAUGUACCCUGAGAAUAAGGAUCGGCUAACUCCGUGCCAGCCGCCGC